AGCGAACGCUGGCGGCAGGCCUAACACAUGCAAGUCGAACGAGACCUUCGGGUCUAGUGGCGCACGGGUGCGUAACGCGUGGGAAUCUGCCCUUGGGUUCGGAAUAACAGUUGGAAACGACUGCUAAUACCGGACGAUGACGUAAGUCCAAAGAUUUAUCGCCCAGGGAUGAGCCCGCGUAGGAUUAGCUAGUUGGUGGGGUAAAGGCCUACCAAGGCGACGAUCCUUAGCUGGUCUGAGAGGAUGAUCAGCCACACUGGGACUGAGACACGGCCCAGACUCCUACGGGAGGCAGCAGUGGGGAAUAUUGGACAAUGGGCGAAAGCCUGAUCCAGCAAUGCCGCGUGAGUGAUGAAGGCCUUAGGGUUGUAAAGCUCUUUUACCCGGGAUGAUAAUGACAGUACCGGGAGAAUAAGCCCCGGCUAACUCCGUG
RNAcentral lists this ribosomal RNA (433 nucleotides) under uncultured bacterium. Its description in RNAcentral is "partial 16S ribosomal RNA". It matches the Rfam family "Bacterial small subunit ribosomal RNA", at positions 29 to 507 of the family's 1533-position model. The record is from RNAcentral.